UCGUCCGCAACGUGAUGCUGAAUGAAGAGACUGAGAACUCUGGUUUUGGGCUACUAAGGGCUACCUGUACGCCGUCGAUGAGAAAAGGCUUCUACACUGUGUCUGCAUGGUACAAGAAGGAGGAUGGACGAAUCGGUGGGGCUCACUGCCAGUGCGUAGCAGGGCUCAGCGAAACUUGCCAUCGCGUGGCUGCUGUUCUGUUUUUCGUAGCAGAUGCAGCACAGUCUGGAGUGAGAACAUGCACGGAUCUCCCGUGCGCUUUGAUUGUGCCCUCACAAGGGAAGAGAGCCCCUUCUCCAAGACCACUGUAGGAAAUACAUUUCCAAAAACACUUGGUACAGAAGCCAGCAAGGGAAUGCAGGAGGCGUAUUUACAACCCAUGUGAAGAACAGCGGGAUAGCGAAAGUGAUGCAUACAAAGACCUGCUUGAAGACAUGGGAGACCACCACCCGUCUAUGCUGUGGUUUCGGUAUGCCGCCCCAAACAAGGAUGCCGUUGUACCCAAGAAGCCAUCUCUGCCCAUCAGUGACGAUGCCAACCUCAGCACGGAAGGUGUUAUAGUGAUCA
Molecule: long non-coding RNA, 567 nt
Organism: Ornithodoros turicata
Lineage: Eukaryota; Metazoa; Arthropoda; Arachnida; Ixodida; Argasidae
Exons: 3
Source: RefSeq, a predicted model, not a curated record